GGACCAGACUCCUACGGGAGGCAGCAGUGGGGAAUAUUGGACAAUGGGGGGAACCCUGAUCCAGCGACGCCGCGUGAGUGAAGAAGUAUUUCGGUAUGUAAAGCUCUAUCAGCAGGGAAGAAAGAAAUGACGGUACCUGACUAAGAAGCCCCGGCUAACUACGUGCCAGCAGCCGCGGUAAUACGUAGGGGGCAAGCGUUAUCCGGGUUUACUGGGUGUAAAGGGAGCGUAGACGGCAAUGCAAGUCUGGAGUGAAAGGCGGGGGCCCAACCCCCGGACUGCUCUGGAAACUGUAUAGCUGGAGUGCAGGAGAGGUAAGUGGAAUUCCUAGUGUAGCGGUGAAAUGCGUAGAUAUUAGGAGGAACAUCAGUGGCGAAGGCGACUUUCUGGACUGUAACUGACGCUGAGGCACGAAAGUGUGGGGAGCAAACAGGAUUAGAUACCCCCGUA
This 450-nucleotide ribosomal RNA is filed under the name uncultured bacterium. RNAcentral's name for it is "bacterial SSU rRNA". It matches the Rfam family "Bacterial small subunit ribosomal RNA", at positions 328 to 792 of the family's 1533-position model. The record is from RNAcentral.